RNAcentral lists this ribosomal RNA (462 nucleotides) under uncultured bacterium. RNAcentral's name for it is "partial 16S ribosomal RNA". It matches the Rfam family "Bacterial small subunit ribosomal RNA", at positions 29 to 507 of the family's 1533-position model. The record is from RNAcentral.
AGUGAACGCUGGCGGCGUGCCUAAUACAUGCAAGUCGAACGGAGAUUCAGUAGCUUGCUAUUUAAUCUUAGUGGCGCACGGGUGAGUAAUAUAUAGCUAACUUGCCCAUUACUAAGGGACAACAGUUGGAAACGACUGCUAAUACCUUAUACUCCGUAUCUAUAUAAGUAGAUACGGGAAAGUUUUUCGGUAAUGGAUAGGGCUAUAUCGUAUCAGCUAGUUGGUAAGGUAAUGGCUUACCAAGGCUAUGACGCGUAACUGGUCUGAGAGGAUGAUCAGUCACACUGGAACUGAGACACGGUCCAGACUCCUACGGGAGGCAGCAGUAGGGAAUAUUGCUCAAUGGGGGAAACCCGGAAGCGGCAACGCCGCGUGGAGGAUGACACUUUUCGGAGCGUAAACUCCUUUUCUUGGGAAAGAAUUAUGACGGUACCCAAGGAAUAAGCACCGGCUAACUCCGUG